GCUAUCAUACCAGCAUUAAUGCACCGGAUCCCAUCAGAACUCCGAAGUUAAGCGUGCUUGGGCGAGAGCAGUACUAGGAUGGGUUAUCCCCUGGGAAGUCCUCGUGUUGCACCU
RNAcentral lists this ribosomal RNA (114 nucleotides) under Zingiber officinale. Lineage: Eukaryota; Viridiplantae; Streptophyta; Magnoliopsida; Zingiberales; Zingiberaceae. The record is from RNAcentral.